UACGUAGGGGGCAAGCGUUGUCCGGAAUCAUUGGGCGUAAAGAGCGUGUAGGCGGCCCGAUAAGUCCGCCGUGAAAGUCCAGGGCUCAACCCUGGAAUGCCGGUGGAAACUGUCGGGCUGGAGUCCGGAAGAGGCGAGUGGAAUCCCUGGUGUAGCGGUGAAAUGCGCAGAUAUCAGGAGGAACACCAAUGGCGAAGGCAGCUCGCUGGGACGGUACUGACGCUGAGACGCGAAAGCGUGGGGAGCAAACAGG
RNAcentral lists this ribosomal RNA (253 nucleotides) under uncultured bacterium. RNAcentral's name for it is "partial 16S ribosomal RNA". It matches the Rfam family "Bacterial small subunit ribosomal RNA", at positions 524 to 776 of the family's 1533-position model. The record is from RNAcentral.